AACUAACGCUGGCGGCGUGCCUAACACAUGCAAGUCGUACGAGAAAGUUGGCUUCGGCUAAUGAGUAAAGUGGCGCACGGGUGAGUAACGCGUGGAUAAUCUGCCCUUCAGCCGGGAACAACCCAUCGAAAGGUGGGCUAAUACCCGAUAAUACGGCAUCACCUAAGUGAUGUCGUCAAAGAUAGCCUCUGUUUACAAGCUUUCACUGGAUGAUGAGUCCGCGUACCAUUAGCUAGUUGGUAGGGUAAUGGCCUACCAAGGCUACGAUGGUUAGCUGGUCUGAGAGGAUGAUCAGCCACACUGGAACUGAGACACGGUCCAGACUCCUACGGGUGGCAG
This 339-nucleotide ribosomal RNA is filed under the name uncultured Pseudomonadota bacterium. RNAcentral's name for it is "bacterial SSU rRNA". It matches the Rfam family "Bacterial small subunit ribosomal RNA", at positions 29 to 351 of the family's 1533-position model. The record is from RNAcentral. Lineage: Bacteria; Pseudomonadati; Pseudomonadota.